Pan paniscus (pygmy chimpanzee) is the source of this 65-nucleotide microRNA precursor. The record is from Ensembl. Lineage: Eukaryota; Metazoa; Chordata; Mammalia; Primates; Hominidae.
GUUGGUGCAAAAGUAAUUGCGGUUUUUGCCAUUGAAAAUAAUAGCAAAAACCGCAAUUACUUUUG